Oryza glumipatula is the source of this 209-nucleotide non-coding RNA. NCBI's taxonomy places the organism in Eukaryota, Viridiplantae, Streptophyta, Magnoliopsida, Poales, Poaceae. The record is from Rfam.
UUUCAGGAUGUUACACUGGGUUUCCGUGUCCAACGUUUAACCGCCCGUAUUAUUUAAAAAAAAUAUGAAAAGAAUUAAAAAGACAAGUCACGCAUAAAGUAUUAAUCAUGUUUUAUCAUCUAAUAACAAUGAAAAUACUAAUUAUAAAAAAAUUUCAUAUAAAACGGAUAGUCAAACGUUGGACACGAAAACCCAGGGUUUGUCUUUUU